RNAcentral lists this ribosomal RNA (533 nucleotides) under soil bacterium LM2-P1-8. RNAcentral describes it as "bacterial SSU rRNA". It matches the Rfam family "Bacterial small subunit ribosomal RNA", at positions 355 to 878 of the family's 1533-position model. The record is from RNAcentral.
UAGGGAAUCUUCCACAAUGGACGAAAGUCUGAUGGAGCCAAUGCCGCGUGAGUGAAGAAGGUUUUCGGAUCGUAAAGCUCUGUUGCGAGGGAAGAACACGUACGGGAGUAACUGCCCGUACCUUGACGGUACCUCGUCAGAAAGCCACGGCUAACUACGUGCCAGCAGCCGCGGUAAUACGUAGGUGGCAAGCGUUGUCCGGAAUUAUUGGGCGUAAAGCGCGCGCAGGCGGUCCUUUAAGUCUGAUGUGAAAGCCCACGGCUCAACCGUGGAGGGUCAUUGGAAACUGGGGGACUUGAGUACAGAAGAGGAAAGCGGAAUUCCACGUGUAGCGGUGAAAUGCGUAGAGAUGUGGAGGAACACCAGUGGCGAAGGCGGCUUUCUGGUCUGUAACUGACGCUGAGGCGCGAAAGCGUGGGGAGCAAACAGGAUUAGAUACCCUGGUAGUCCACGCCGUAAACGAUGAGUGCUAAGUGUUAGGGGGUUUCCGCCCCUUAGUGCUGCAGCUAACGCAUUAAGCACUCCGCCUGGGG